RNAcentral lists this transfer RNA (73 nucleotides) under Anneissia japonica. RNAcentral's name for it is "tRNA-Val". It matches the Rfam family "tRNA". Rfam says of the family: Transfer RNA (tRNA) molecules are approximately 80 nucleotides in length. Their secondary structure includes four short double-helical elements and three loops (D, anti-codon, and T loops). Further hydrogen bonds mediate the characteristic L-shaped molecular structure. tRNAs have two regions of fundamental functional importance: the anti-codon, which is responsible for specific mRNA codon recognition, and the 3' end, to which the tRNAs corresponding amino acid is attached (by aminoacyl-tRNA synthetases). tRNAs cope with the degeneracy of the genetic code in two manners: having more than one tRNA (with a specific anti-codon) for a particular amino acid; and 'wobble' base-pairing, i.e. permitting non-standard base-pairing at the 3rd anti-codon position. The record is from RNAcentral. Lineage: Eukaryota; Metazoa; Echinodermata; Crinoidea; Comatulida; Comatulidae.
GGUUUCGUGGUGUAGUGGUUAUCACGUCUGCUUUACACGCAGAAGGUCCCUGGUUCGAGCCCGGGCGGAACCU